This is a long non-coding RNA of Daphnia pulicaria, 857 nucleotides long. RefSeq lists it as uncharacterized. The record is from RefSeq and is a predicted model, not a curated record. The transcript is spliced from 3 exons. Lineage: Eukaryota; Metazoa; Arthropoda; Branchiopoda; Diplostraca; Daphniidae.
ACAUGGAGGUGUUAGAAAUAACUCGUGAUGCAAUGAUGAAAUCUAAACCAAAAUCUGCACGCUCCACCAAAAUCUUGCACUCAACUCCAAAAUCCCAAGUGGCCCCCAAACCUGUUGCUUCUGUUUCAUAUGCCAAGAAGUCUUUGCCUCCAACAGUUGGGAAUACUUCAAAUUCAGAACCCAUAGAUAACAACAAGAGAAAAACAACGAAAACAAAUCCAUCAAGAAGCAAAGAUCAAGCAAUCAAACCAACAGCUGAUGAAGUCAGUGAUUUGGGUGUUAGUGCUCUACCAUCAUCUGAAAGCGAAGAAUCAGACUCUGGUAAUGAAGAAGUAGAUUGGUUGGCUCCAUCUCCUCCUCCUCGUACCCGCAACAAAAUCCCCCGGACUGAUGUAGUAAUUAUUAAAUCUGUGUUUAUAAUCACUGGCAUGCAUGAGUAAAGAUUUGUUUAUAUGUACAGGAUCGCUGUAUUGGUGGCAGUGCCUCAAGUAAUUGUUCCGUUCACUCGGCCGUUCAUCGCAAUCAAGUUAUUCUGACUCCUCCAGUAUCUCGGUGUAACACGCCAUCAUCUUUCCGAACUCCAAGUAGAGAAGAGUUUUCGAAAGACUUGCAAUCUUUGAAUAAUGAAGCAUCUCAUCUGGAUGAUAGUAAUUGCAAUGACGAAAACAGUCAGGAGGCUCAGAUCAUUGGACAGUCAAAUUCCCUUCAAGACAUUGAGGAAGAAAAUUCUUUUUUCAAAGAACAGUUGAAUCAAAGCUUGAUUGAUUACGAACAUAUGAAAGCUGAAUACGAAAGGAAACUACUUGAAAAGGACGAACUUAUAAAGAGUUUACGUGAUGAUAACCCAUUAGUACUAG